This 233-nucleotide ribosomal RNA is filed under the name uncultured bacterium. Its description in RNAcentral is "partial 16S ribosomal RNA". It matches the Rfam family "Bacterial small subunit ribosomal RNA", at positions 118 to 351 of the family's 1533-position model. The record is from RNAcentral.
UGAGCAAUCUGCCCUUCUCAUCGGAAUAAGCGUUGGAAACGACGUCUAAUGCCGAAUACGACCUCCUUUCGCAUGAUCGGAGGUGGAAAGCUCCGGCGGAGAAGGAUGAGCUCGCGGCCUAUCAGCUAGUUGGUGUGGGUAAUGGCCCACCAAGGCGACGACGGGUAGCCGGCCUGAGAGGGUGACCGGCCACACUGGGACUGAGACACGGCCCAGACUCCUACGGGAGGCAG